Molecule: ribosomal RNA, 253 nt
Filed under: uncultured bacterium
Lineage: Bacteria
Description: partial 16S ribosomal RNA
Rfam family: Bacterial small subunit ribosomal RNA
Source: RNAcentral
UACAGAGGUCUCAAGCGUUGUUCGGAUUCAUUGGGCGUAAAGGGUGCGUAGGUGGCGUCGUAAGUCAGGUGUGAAAUCUCGGGGCUCAACCCCGAAACUGCACUUGAUACUGCGAUGCUCGAGUACUGGAGAGGAGAUUGGAAUUUACGGUGUAGCAGUGAAAUGCGUAGAUAUCGGGAGGAACACCUGUGGCGAAAGCGGCGCACUGGACCACAUCUGACGCUGAGGCGCGAAAGCUAGGGGAGCAAACAGG